RNAcentral lists this ribosomal RNA (496 nucleotides) under Serica sp. LW1365. RNAcentral's name for it is "partial 16S large subunit ribosomal RNA". It matches the Rfam family "Bacterial large subunit ribosomal RNA", at positions 1845 to 2600 of the family's 2925-position model. The record is from RNAcentral. Lineage: Eukaryota; Metazoa; Arthropoda; Insecta; Coleoptera; Scarabaeidae.
UUAAAGUCUAAUCUGCCCUAUGAGGAUUUAAAUGGCCGCGGUAUUUUGACCGUGCAAAGGUAGCAUAAUAAUUAGUUUUUUAAUUGAAAGCUGGAAUGAAUGAUUGAACGAGAAAAUAGCUGUCUCAAUUUAAUUUUAUUAGAAUUUUAUUUUUAAGUAAAAAAGCUUAAAUUAAGUUAAAAGACGAGAAGACCCUAUAGAGUUUUAUAUUCAAUUUACUAUUAAUUUUUUAGAGGUUUUUUAUUAUUAUUUAAGGGAAUAUUUUGUUGGGGUGAUAGAAAAAUUUGAUUAACUUUUUUUAAUUUUAAUUACAUUAAUAUAUGAUUUUUUGAUCCAUUAUUUAUGAUUAUAAGAUUAAGUUACCUUAGGGAUAACAGCGUAAUUUUUUUUUAGAGUUCUUAUCGAAAGAAAAGAUUGCGACCUCGAUGUUGGAUUAAAAUUAAUAUAGGGUGUAGAAGCUUUAUUAUUAGGUCUGUUCGACCUUUAAAAUUUUACA